Molecule: long non-coding RNA, 2031 nt
Filed under: Homo sapiens (human)
Lineage: Eukaryota; Metazoa; Chordata; Mammalia; Primates; Hominidae
Description: PREDICTED lncRNA (TCONS_00191751)
Source: RNAcentral
GAAGCCAGGCCAAGAAGAAUCCCAGGACUGGAAGGCCUUGUGGGACGUCCCAGGUUUGUCUUGUGUCAAUAGCACUGAUACUCAAUCUCCUACUCCCAUCUGUGAGCAUGCAGACCCUACUUGCCUUCCCACAGCCUCCCUUUUCAUAUUUUUCAUGUUUCUUUAGCUCUGUCUUCAAGCCUUGUUGCUCCCGCAAAAAAACCUGCCUCUUCCUCCAGUCCUCCCAAGCAGGGGGAACAGUCCUGACACCUUUCCAAGCCCUGGUCCAUGGACAUUGUGCCCCCUUCUCCCUGCCCAUGGUGACCUGCUCCAAAACCCUCAAGGAGAAGGGAGUGUAUGUCAUUUCCUCCCUGUAAAGUAAAGAUAAUUUUGCAGGGGACUGUGUGGAUGAAAUGACAUGAUGCAUGGAAAUCCCUUAGCGUGUGCCUGGCAUGUAAACUGCAGGUGUCAUCAUUAUUACUGAGGAAUACUGAGUCCCGAACAUGGCUGUCUCAUUGGUGGACUGGGGUCUCCCCCAGGGCAUUCAUCUACUAUGUGUUUAUUGCACCCUUUUUCCAUGUGAGGCACAUGCCAGGGACUGGGCACAUGGUAUGAACAAGACACAGGUCAUCGGUGUCCUCUUGAGCUCCCUGGCUUGGCAGCAGAUGCAUACCUGGGAAGGAUGCUAGGUCAUCCGGGAACUCUACCUCCUUCAAAUCCCUAAGGACUGUGCUCCCAAUCCGCUUACGCUCAAGGAAGAACUGAUGAGGAAAUGGAGGCACAGACUGAUUAGAAAACCAGCUCAAGGUCAUGUUGCUGGGCUCUCUGGUGGAGCCUCUGUCUCACAGGUCACCUGCAGGCCAACACUCCCAGAAGCAGCUAGCACCAUGGUUGACCUCGUCCAGGUCCAGGGAAGGCCUCCCUCUCCAGGACUCCUUUAGAUUUCCCCAGCAUCCAGACCUCACCUGCCUAAGUGCUGUUGCCCUGGAAGCCACAGUGAGCACGAGCUCCAUCUUGCACCUUUACCAGCCAAUGGGGGUAAAGACAUUAGCUGGGUUACUCAGGCUGAAAUGCUCAAGACACUCUGUCUCAAGGGAUUUGUGGCUGUUUCAUCCUCAAGUAUAGGGGGAAUAGUGGCCAGGAAGAUCUCAGAGGUGGCUUCUGGAAGAGGAAUCUGGGUACUGGCUACCCUGCCUUGUGUCCCAUCAUUGGUCUGUCUUGCCUGUCUUGGAGCACAUUUCUCACCAAGGCCAUGUUCAAUCCCCUCAAGGGAAGCCUGAGACCACAGCUACUGCCUCGAAUCAGAAGCCCCAGCCUCAUCAUCUGGGGCCAGAGAACUAGGGCAGGAGGAGCCAAGUAGCACAGCAGGAAGCAUGAGUCCCUCCGAGGAGAAGCUGGUCUCUGAGAGGAGCACAGAAUGCAGCAGGCUGGAUAAGCCCCCUGCUGAAAUCAUGGGGUAAAAAAGAGACACAGGGGGAAUGGAGGAGCCAGAGAGAAAGCAGUGUGAUCACAGGCACACAGGACAGCAGCUCACCUUCCCAUCCUUGCUGGCUUUUGCACCCAACAGCCCAAAGCCUCCCCGCUGCAAAUUCUUUUUUUUUUUUUUUUUUGCCAGCCUCACUUCCUCUUGGGGAAGGCUGAGCUCUGGUAGAAGAAGAGAAUGAGAACUGCUGUAAAUACUUCUAAGGGGCCAGGCGUGGUGACUCAUGCUUGUAAUUCCAAGCACUUUGGGAGGCUGAGGCAGGUGGAUCACCUGAAGCCAGGAGUUCAAGAGCAGCCUGGCCAACAUGGCGAAACCCUGUCUCUACUAAAAAUACAAAAUUUAGCCAGGCAUGGUGGCGGGAGCCUGUAAUCUCAGCUCCUAGGGAGGCUGAGCCAGAAGAAUCGCUUAAACCUGGAAGCUGGAGGUUGCAGUGAGCCAAGAUCACACCACCACACUCCAGCCUGGGUGACAGAGCAAGACUCCAUCUCAAAAAGAAAAAAAAGAAAAAAAGGAAAUACUUCUAAGUUAUGUGAGAGAGUACAUACUGACAUUUUCAAUGGGUACAAUAA